Molecule: ribosomal RNA, 440 nt
Filed under: uncultured bacterium
Lineage: Bacteria
Description: partial 16S ribosomal RNA
Rfam family: Bacterial small subunit ribosomal RNA
Source: RNAcentral
CCUACGGGAGGCAGCAGUGGGGAAUAUUGCACAAUGGGGGAAACACUGAUGCAGCGACGCCGCGUGAGUGCAGAAGUAAUUCGUUAUGUAAAGCUCUAUCAACAGGGAAGAAAAUGACGGUACCUGAGUAAGAAGCCACGGCUAACUACGUGCCAGCAGCCGCGGUAGUACGUAGGGGGCAAGCGUGAUCCGGAUUUACUGGGUGUAAAGGGAUGGUAGACGGCGGUGCAAGUCUGGAGUGAAAGGCCGGGGCUCAACCACCGGAAUGCUCUGGAAACUGUACGGCUGGAGUGCAGGAGAGGUAAGUGGAAUUCCUAGUGUAGCGGUGAAAUGCGUAGAUAUUAGGAGGAACACCAGUGGCGAAGGCGGCUUACUGGACUGUAACUGACGUUGAGGCUCGAAAGCGUGGGGAGCAAACAGGAUUAGAUACCCCGGUAGUC